AACACAGACUCUUACCAGGAUUACUUUGAUUUGGAUGACAAAGACGCAGACGUGCUACCGCUUCGCUCUCAUGUAAGGGGGGGAAGUACAACAAGCAUGAUGAAACAUGUUCAGGCCGUACAUAACCUGAAGGUUCGAGAAAGGUGUCGUGGAGAAGCAGCGACAGAGAUGACGAAGCUCGCCCCUCUUCCUCUGCUUCAACCUGCAGCGCCAAUUCCAGUGAUAGUGCUGGACAAGGACGUGCAGUCAUUCCUGGAGGAGGCCACAAUGAUGGAUCCCAGAAGGAUGUUCCAAUAGCAGCAGGAGUGCACUUUUUGGAGAGCUGUAUUAUUUUCAGUUUUGUGCCCAAGGGACUGAUUUUAUUUAACACUAUAUUAUUUUUUAUACACCUAUAGUGAUCACAGAGACAGGUUGUUUUUGUGUUACUGUAUGUAUUUGUUUUUCUGAA
This is a long non-coding RNA of Entelurus aequoreus (snake pipefish), 448 nucleotides long. RefSeq lists it as uncharacterized. The record is from RefSeq and is a predicted model, not a curated record. Lineage: Eukaryota; Metazoa; Chordata; Actinopteri; Syngnathiformes; Syngnathidae. The transcript has 3 exons.